Molecule: ribosomal RNA, 274 nt
Filed under: uncultured bacterium
Lineage: Bacteria
Description: partial 16S ribosomal RNA
Rfam family: Archaeal small subunit ribosomal RNA
Source: RNAcentral
AUACCCGCAGCUCAAGUGGUGGCCACUAUUAUUGAGCCUAAAGCGUCCGUAGCCGGACCCGUAAAUCCCUGGGUAAAUCCUGGCGCUCAACGUCAGGAAUUCCGGGGAGACUGCGGGUCUUGGGACCGGGAGAGGCCGGAGGUACUCCCGGGGUAGGGGUGAAAUCCUGUAAUCCCGGGGGGACCACCUGUGGCGAAAGCGUCCGGCUUGAACGGCUCCGACGGUGAGGGACGAAGGCCAGGGGAGCAAACCGGAUUAGAAACCCCAGUAGUCC